Molecule: long non-coding RNA, 3806 nt
Organism: Falco peregrinus (peregrine falcon)
Lineage: Eukaryota; Metazoa; Chordata; Aves; Falconiformes; Falconidae
Exons: 2
Source: RefSeq, a predicted model, not a curated record
CUUUCUCACAGAGAAAGCCCUUGACCAUUUCUAAAGAGAAAGCAGCAUGACUGUUGGGCGAGGAGAGACGCAGAGCUCGGCGGGCUGGGGGAAGAUCCCCUGUUGCUUUCUCCCAGAUCUCAGCGGACCACAAGUGACCAUGAAGGGACACGGCCCCUCACACAGACACAGCUGCUGAAAGCUCCACCACCUUCAAGACCACAAACUCCCAAAGACCUUUCCACUGCUGGUGGCCAUCCACCGGCUCCCACAUUAUGGGCAGCAGAGACCUGUGGUAGGCGCAGGACAGAGGUGACUCCGCUGGAUUCCUUCCCACCUCCCGGCUUGCCUUCUUGCCUCCCAGGCAGCAAGUGACCCAUCACAGUGGGGGUCACUGCACUUUACGUUACCAAGAGGCUUUGCAAGCGUUUCUUUCUUGCUGCUCUCAAAAAUGAGCAGGUCGCAGAACAAAUGCAGCUCUGUUGCAGGGAUGUUUUCCUCAACAGGCAACAUUCCCUACUUUUACGAGUCCCGACUUGCAUCCACUGUGGGUUCAUUUUAGAUACUUGACUUCAACAACAGCAAUUGUUCUAGUUUUCCUGGUAUUAUGCUAUUUCCAGCUUUUCCUUUCCUUUUUUAGGAUAGCAAGCAGCUGUGGUUCCUAGCAAUGCCCAGAGUUGUUCUAGCACAUUUUUAUUGGGAGUUCUGUACGCUUGGCUGCUGGAUCCUUCCUUCUUUCCUACACGAGGAUGACUGGUCUCAUUUAGGAUUAUUUUUUUUUCCCUCAAAAAAAUAAAAAAAGAAAUCUGAGAACGUGAUCGAAAAAGCACAGUCAGAGCAGGGAUGGGAAUAACCCCAAGGCAGGCAGGGCCAGGCAGGCUUGUCCUACUGACAGACUCUGCGUAGGUGCCCGUUUUUUAAUCGGCAGCACGAAGAGGGACCCACCUGAGAGCCACACACACAGAGCUCCUUCCUUACGGGGGAACCCACAGUUUAAACAGCAAUACAGAAGGGGUGGUGGCAGGUAUGCAAGCAAUUAAUGAGACCACACCGGUCAAAACAGAGCACAGGUAACCUGAGGACGUGGCUGGCCAGAAAGACAAGCAGCAAGCGUUGGCCCAGAAGGGGAGCACGGGGGUGCGCACGCAUGUUAGCGCAGAUUUAACCGUGGAGAGUGUCUAAUGUGAGGGAUGUACAGCGAGGCACAGCAGAGGGGUGACGAAGGGACGAGAAGCGCAGACAGCUUUUGUUGAAAUGGGAAAGAGAAGGGGGAGAUGGCAAAUGUGGGUGAGGAACAGCAGUGUGGCUGGGCUGGCCAGAGCCAUGGUAGCAGAAUGCUCUGCAGACACCUCGGAUGUGGUGCUGAGCUGGCCAAGAACGGAGGAGGGGGUGCUGCAGCAACAGAUAAGAGCCUGACCGGGAAUUUCAGCUGGGAGGACUGAUAAGCAAGAUAUUUUAGAGGUGCGACCUGAAGCAUCUGAGAGACCCAAACAGAGCAAGAACAAGUGAAGCUAGAGAGCAAGCCAGGAGCUGAAGAGUGCAGACAGAUCUGGGCACAGAGGAAUGCUCCCAGAACAACAGAGGACAAAUCAGAAGCAUUUUUAAAGCCAUUCUGAGCACAACUUGAUGGCCAGACAGCCAGAAGGACAUUUUGGAGCAGCCACAACUGUGGUUUGGACAGGAGGAACUGGGAGAUGGGAGGCAGACCUACAAAUCACCCCUUGUGCGGCUCUGCAGAGGAGAUUAGGGGUGAUGAGCUGAGUGGGGGAGAUAAGGACCGCACACGGAGUUCCGAGCAGCCCUAAGAGGAAGCGAGGAAGGUCAGCAACUCAUCUACGCAGUAAAGCUUCUCCUACAAACAGUGCGUUGGCAGCUCCAUCGUCCGAAGCCCUGGUCAUGUGCCUGGCCUUCCCUACUCCAACCAGCACAGAGGUGCCCCAGCUACACAGCAAACGCUGAAUUACCCCAACCGGACUGACCUCCCUCUAGCAGCAAUCCCAGAGCACCCCAUCCCCUGUAAGAGGACAGCACAGAUCACUUUUAACCUUUGUACAAUAAGAAUCUCACAGACAGAAGGCAAAUAGGUAUUUUACUGCAUCUUAUUCUAUUUAUAUUCCUCGUGACCUUUGAAACUCCUUCUUCCUCACUAAGAUGGGAGCCAAACAUGUAAAGGCAGGAAGCAAAUUAAUUUCCUUUUGAAGCAGUUGAUUUACUUUGCCAAUAUGUACUGACACAGUAAAAAAAAAAAAGAAUACAAUAAGCCACCCUAAGGGCAGAGGGUUUCUGGCACAGCAGCAGUUAGUGCAUAUGAGACUUAAAAUAAAUCUUGCAAACAAUCCAAAAAGUGGUCAGUCAGAUUAAACAAUUUUUGUAGGGAAAACUAUCAAGUAAACAUGGGAAAGCAACAAAAGCCAAGUCCAAAAACAACCUCUUCCAUGCUACAAUCAUGUGCGAGACUAAAGGGAAAGAGGCAGAGCUGGCUGCUUGCUGCCUACUUCAGCGAUGGGCUGGAUCCCAGACCGCCCUGCAGGAAACCACCUCUCUCUGCCUGCGUGACCAGAAGUUAUUCCGGGUACAACCACAUUUCUUUGUCCUCCAGCAUGAUCCUGAGGCUUUCCCAGAUGUCCUUUCUUCUGGGAUCAGCAGGGUUGUGGAAGGGAGCUCAUUCCUUGGACCCACGGCAGGGCUAUGGGAUGGCUUGAGAGCCUUCCCGAUGCACUUGGCCUGGCUCCAGCCACCGGGAAGCACCGGGCAAGACUCAAGGAGAGCUGCAGAAGCUCUAGAAAUGGUGGAAGAAGAGGGACCAACACAAGCAGCACUGCAGGUCACCAGGACGCUUUGCUAUACAGCAACAGGUGCUUCCGUGGUUGGUGUCACCACGGGAAAUGCCACCCACAAACAUGACAUCACAGCACUGCCGGCAGCUGCACCUCAGAGAAAUCCUACGGGUAGCAGGUCCUCUAGAUCUUCAGGACUCAGACGGGGCUGGACAAAGCAGCAAAGAAGGACAUGUAAGGAAGAGGCUAGCAUGGGCAAGUGCCAAGAGCGCAGGGAUCAAGUAUUUCCAGCCUUGGCCCCAAAGAGGCCAUUCCAGGUUGGCUGAGCAGCGCCAGGGAUGCACAGAGAAAUACCAAGAGGAUCUAGGGUGGGAUCUGAGAAGAGCAUCUCCAGACAGCAGAUGGAAGCGAAGAGAGAAAGAAAGAGAGGAAUGAGACUCAGCUAGAGCCAAGAGUAGUUUGUUUUGCACUGACUGAGGAGUCUUGCAGGUUUGCACCGAGAAAGACAAGCUGGGGAAGAGGGUAGAGGAGCACAGACAAGACACAGAAUGGUGCAGUGAGUUCAGCAGAAGAAUUCAAGGAAAGCAAAGAAAAAAAGUCUGUCUGCGAGGAAGAUAACACUGGAAGAAGGGUGGGGGCCAGUUUAUGUCACAUCUCAGUUCUCUGAACUGGAGGAGGGGCAGCGAUCACUGCACUGGGCGUUGCACCCAGAGGAAAGGUUUCUUUCACUAAUAGCAUAAGCAGGACUCAUGAGAUUAUCACCAUUGCCCCCUGCAAACCUCGCUUUGCUUGUACCAAAGACAUCCCAGCAGCCCUCCCCAUGACUGCAGAGGUGCAGGAGACUAGGGAGACAGCAGAAAGGCUGCACGUGGCAGACCCACGGGAGACGUCCCAUACUCCAGCGUGACCCAAACAGCCAAGCAAACAUCUCUGAGAUUUUCAAAGGUGCUUUGUUGCGGGUGACAGUUGUGUUCAGAAGUUGUGCUUUCCUUAGAGACAAAAAAAGAAUUCACUGACCUAGAUAAAAUAUCCAGUUUAAGGUAACCAAAA